This 438-nucleotide ribosomal RNA is filed under the name uncultured bacterium. RNAcentral describes it as "SSU rRNA". It matches the Rfam family "Bacterial small subunit ribosomal RNA", at positions 26 to 518 of the family's 1533-position model. The record is from RNAcentral.
AGAAUGAACGCUAGCGAUAUGCUUAACACAUGCAAGUUGAACGUUGUUUUCGAAUCAGAAUGAGAACAAAGUAGCGAACGGGUGCGUAACACGUGGGAAUCUGCCGAACAGUUUGGGCCAAAUCCCGAAUGAAUAAAAGCUAAAAAGCGCUGUUUGAUGAGCCCACGUAGUAUUAGGUAGUUGGUUAGGUAAAAGCUGACCAAGCCUACGAUGCUUAGCUGGUCUUUUCGGAUGAUCAGCCACACUGGGACUGAGACACGGCCCAGACUCCUACGGGAGGCAGCAGUGGGGAAUCUUGGACAAUGGGCGAAAGCCUGAUCCGGCAAUAUGGCGUGAGUGAAGAAGGGCAACGCAGCUUGUAAAGCUCUUUCAUCGAGUGUGCGAUUGUGACAAGACUCGAAUAAGAACGCCCCGGCUAACUCCGUGCCAGCACGCCGC